Molecule: ribosomal RNA, 454 nt
Filed under: uncultured bacterium
Lineage: Bacteria
Description: bacterial SSU rRNA
Rfam family: Bacterial small subunit ribosomal RNA
Source: RNAcentral
AACGAACGCUGGCGGCAGGCCUCAAACAUGCAAGUCUAGGGGGUGUAGCAAUACAUCACCGGCGGACGGGUGCGUAACGCGUGGGAAUAUACCUAUCGAUUCGGAACAACUGAGGGAAACUUCAGCUAAUACCGAAUACGUCCUAACGGAGAAAGAUUUAUCGUCGAUAGAUUAGCCCGCGUUCGAUUAGCUAGUUGGUGGGGUAACGGCCCACCAAGGCGACGAUCGAUAGCUGUUCUGAGAGGAAGAUCAGCCACACUGGGACUGAGACACGGCCCAGACUCCUACGGGAGGCAGCAGUUGGGAAUCUUACGCAAUGGGGGGAAACCCUGACGUAGCGACACCGCGUGAACGAAGAAGCCCUUUGGGGUGUAAAGUCUGUCGGCUGGAACGAAAAAAUGACGGUACCAGCAAAGGAAGCAUCGGCUAACUACGUGCCAGCAGCCGCGGUAAU